UACGUAGGGUGCAAGCGUUGUCCGGAAUUAUUGGGCGUAAAGAGCUCGUAGGCGGUUUGUCACGUCGGAUGUGAAACCCCGAGGCUUAACCUCGGGCCUGCAUUCGAUACGGGCUGACUAGAGUUCGGUAGGGGAGACUGGAAUUCCUGGUGUAGCGGUGAAAUGCGCAGAUAUCAGGAAGAACACCCGUGGCGAAGGCGGCUCUCUGGGACGGUACUGACGCUGAGACGCGAAAGCGUGGGGAGCGAACAGG
Molecule: ribosomal RNA, 253 nt
Filed under: uncultured bacterium
Lineage: Bacteria
Description: partial 16S ribosomal RNA
Rfam family: Bacterial small subunit ribosomal RNA
Source: RNAcentral